UACGGAAGGUCCGGGCGUUAUCCGGAUUUAUUGGGUUUAAAGGGAGCGUAGGCCGGAGAUUAAGCGUGUUGUGAAAUGUAGACGCUCAACGUCUGCACUGCAGCGCGAACUGGUUUCCUUGAGUAGUGCAGAGGUAGGCGGAAUUCCCGGUGUAGCGGUGGAAUGCGUAGAUAUCACGAAGAACUCCGAUUGCGAAGGCAGCUCACUGGAGCGCAACUGACGCUGAAGCUCGAAAGUGCGGGUAUCGAACAGG
Molecule: ribosomal RNA, 253 nt
Filed under: uncultured bacterium
Lineage: Bacteria
Description: partial 16S ribosomal RNA
Rfam family: Bacterial small subunit ribosomal RNA
Source: RNAcentral